This 1056-nucleotide unclassified non-coding RNA is filed under the name Rhizobium leguminosarum. Its description in RNAcentral is "partial contains 16S ribosomal RNA, 16S-23S ribosomal RNA intergenic spacer, and 23S ribosomal RNA". The stretch from base 201 to 274 matches the Rfam family "tRNA". Lineage: Bacteria; Pseudomonadati; Pseudomonadota; Alphaproteobacteria; Hyphomicrobiales; Rhizobiaceae. The record is from RNAcentral.
GGUAGACGAUCGGCUGGAUCUUCGGAUCUCCCCGAUAUGAACCUUCCCGUGCUUUUUAGAACAUAGAUGGCACCAGUCAGGUGACUAUCGAAACGUAAUACGCCGCGUAGACUUCGGUCACGACGGUAUGGCGAGCUUUCGCCGUCCACGUUUCUCUUUCUUCAAGAAGACAAAAAACCGCGUCGACCGGUUCCCCGAAUGGGCCCGUAGCUCAGUUGGUUAGAGCACACGCUUGAUAAGCGUGGGGUCGGAAGUUCAAGUCUUCCCGGGCCCACCAUUUGCACCGGCAAAUGAAAUUUGCUGUAGCGAAUGAGGGUUGAGGGAUGAUGGAAUGUUGGUGAUGCGGGUUGUUGCCGAACCUUGGGGCUUGUCCUUGGGGUGAUCGAGCUGGAGGGGCUGUAGCUCAGCUGGGAGAGCACCUGCUUUGCAAGCAGGGGGUCAGCGGUUCGAUCCCGCUCAGCUCCACCAAAUCGAUUGGUGUUGAAGCUGACGGCAUUUGUCUUUUGAAGAAAUAAAAGUUUUGCAUCGGCUUAGGCUGGUGCGUGUUCUGCAUACAUUGUGAAGAGAAGAUUGAUCUGGAGGCUUCCAGGUGUUUUGGGUUCUGCCCAAGGCGUCCGAGCCCGAUCCUUAUGAUAUCGUCGAUGGCCUAGCCGGCCGGACGCGAUGGAGGGGUCGGAGGUAGGAAGGAAGCUUGUCGCUCUGGGCCGUUGUUGUUUGUUUAUCCUUAGGGAUGAGCAUCUGACGGACGGCUUGAUUACCGUUGCCUGACCGCGCGGUAUCGGAUCCAAUCUCGAGAAGCUGGUCUUAAGACAGGCUGCAAGUGAGCUGCUCGGCGUAGCUCCAAUAAAGCAGACCUGUCGAACACGUUAAUGGCAUCAUGAAAUGGCCUGGGUUGUAAAAGGUAACCCUGGCCGCCGCAUCCCUUCGGGAUGUCGGCUCAGUGAUGAGCAUUGGCAAUGAGAACGAUUAAGUGUCGUAAGGGCAUUUGGUGGAUGCCUUGGCAUGCACAGGCGAUGAAGGACGUGAUACGCUGCGAAAAGCCGUGGGAGCUGCGAA